UGCCUCGGGAGGCAGCAGUGGGGAAUAUUGCACAAUGGGGGAAACCCUGAUGCAGCAACGCCGCGUGAGUGAAGAAGGUUUUCGGAUUGUAAAGCUCUGUUAGCAGGGAAGAGGAAGGACGGUACCUGCAGAGGAAGCCACGGCUAACUACGUGCCAGCAGCCGCGGUAAUACGUAGGUGGCAAGCGUUGUUCGGAAUAACUGGGCGUAAAGGAUGCGUAGGCGGGUAAACAAGGUAUAUGUUAAAUAUAUAGGCUUAACCUGUAGAAAGCAUAUAAAACUGUUUAACUAAAGAGCAGGAGAGGG
This 305-nucleotide ribosomal RNA is filed under the name uncultured bacterium. Its description in RNAcentral is "bacterial SSU rRNA". It matches the Rfam family "Bacterial small subunit ribosomal RNA", at positions 337 to 658 of the family's 1533-position model. The record is from RNAcentral.